Molecule: ribosomal RNA, 376 nt
Filed under: uncultured bacterium
Lineage: Bacteria
Description: bacterial SSU rRNA
Rfam family: Bacterial small subunit ribosomal RNA
Source: RNAcentral
UACGUAGGCGGCAAGCGUUGUCCGGAUUUACUGGGCGUAAAGGGAGCGUAGGCGGAUACUUAAGUGGGAUGUGAAAUACCUGGGCUUAACUUGGGUGCUGCAUUCCAAACUGGGUGUCUAGAGUGUUGGAGAGGAAAGUGGAAUUCCUAGUGUAGCGGUGAAAUGCGUAGAGAUUAGGAAGAACACCAGUGGCGAAGGCGACUUUCUGGACAAUAACUGACACUGAGGCUCAAAAGCGUGGGGAGCAAACAGGAUUAGAUACCCUGGUAGUCCACGCCGUAAACGAUGGGUACUAGGUGUAGGAGGUAUCGACUCCUCCUGUGCCGCCGUUAACACAAUAAGUACCCCGCCUGGGGAGUACGGUCGCAAGAUUAAA